This 713-nucleotide long non-coding RNA is filed under the name Felis catus (domestic cat). RNAcentral describes it as "lncRNA (ENSFCAG00000041317.2)". Lineage: Eukaryota; Metazoa; Chordata; Mammalia; Carnivora; Felidae. The record is from RNAcentral.
CUUUCAGAAAAGAUAUAUUUUAUUCUAUUUCUCACUUUUUCCUGAUUAGCAAUAUCAUUUGAUACAUACACACAUAUUACCAAACUACCACUUGGUAAGUGAAAGCUUUACUUUCUGCAGGAAAACAGCAUGUGCAGUGAUUGUGCAAUGUAAACAAAAUGCUGUCGUGGGCCCAGGAUGCAGUGCAUCAACUGUCACACUGAUCGGUCAGAUGGUUUCAGAUGUUUAAGAGUCAAAAAAUAAGAAGGGGACAGCAACAGCCCUAAACUUGGAAUAUGGCAACUAUGCACAUUUUAUGUUGGUGUGGAAACGUGACUGGAUUGGUAUUAUCUGUGAUGACAUAGUUGCUGAAGGGUUUUCGGUCUUCUCCAUGUUCUGAAAAGAAAUAAUUCAGAUGAAAGGAAAAAAGAAGUGAUGCCAAGUUAUAAAAAUGGUCUCUACUGACUUGCAUUUCAAAUUUGUCGUCCAAAUCUUGCAUUCCAUCCAGUCAUAUUUCCUAGGAUCCUUCUACAUUAAUUCUCUGCCACACAGAACUGAGCCUUUGGCUAAUGCUUCUCCAGUUACUGAAUCACGCUUAUUUUUUAACCCUUAGAACCUAAGUGUGGCCUACUCCUUGAAGCCUGCCUUGAUUAAUUCGUAUGUGAUCCCUGUAAUACCUUGGAGAUACUUGUUUUAUAAAUAAAAAUUAAUACAUAAAAUUUUAAUAAAACUAU